Molecule: ribosomal RNA, 142 nt
Filed under: uncultured eukaryote
Lineage: Eukaryota
Description: partial 18S ribosomal RNA
Rfam family: Eukaryotic small subunit ribosomal RNA
Source: RNAcentral
UGGUGGAGUGAUUUGUCUGGUUAAUUCCGUUAACGAACGAGACCUCAGCUUGUUGGUUGUUCCGAGCUUUUCUUUUGAAAAAGUUUUGGAGGAUUGAGAAGGACUGUCGGUGUUUAGCCGAUGGAAGUUUGAGGCAAUAACA